UGUUUCGGCUAGGGGGCCAUCCCGGCUUACCAACCCGAUGCAAACUGCGAAUACCGGAGAAUGUUAUCACGGGAGACACACGGCGGGUGCUAACGUCCGUCGUGAAGAGGGAAACAACCCAGACCGCCAGCUAAGGUCCCAAAGUCAUGGUUAAGUGGGAAACGAUGUGGGAAGGCCCAGACAGCCAGGAUGUUGGCUUAGAAGCAGCCAUCAUUUAAAGAAAGCGUAAUAGCUCACUGGUCGAGUCGGCCUGCGCGGAAGAUGUAACGGGGCUAAACCAUGCACCGAAGCUGCGGCAGCGAACGUAUCACUUAAAGCGAUUCAGCGGGUUACGAUUGACGGAGCGAAGCGACGUCAAAGCGUAUACAAAGUCGAGUCGGUUUA
Molecule: ribosomal RNA, 384 nt
Filed under: Salmonella enterica subsp. enterica serovar Newport
Lineage: Bacteria; Pseudomonadati; Pseudomonadota; Gammaproteobacteria; Enterobacterales; Enterobacteriaceae
Also listed under: 2 other names
Description: partial 23S ribosomal RNA
Rfam family: Bacterial large subunit ribosomal RNA (bases 1-332)
Source: RNAcentral